Molecule: long non-coding RNA, 635 nt
Filed under: Equus asinus (donkey)
Lineage: Eukaryota; Metazoa; Chordata; Mammalia; Perissodactyla; Equidae
Description: lncRNA (ENSEASG00005033919.1)
Source: RNAcentral
CGCCGGGCCGUGUCUGGGAUAGGGUGUGGAGAAGAUUCUAGGUUCUGGGACGGGGACGGAGAAGAGAACAGGGGCUCUUCCGCGAGGAUGCGGUAGGGGGACCUGGGUUCGGCAAGUGGGGAUGGAGUCUGGUCUCAGAGGAGGCGGGACGCGGAGGGUGGCCCCAGGGCCCCGAGGAGAGUGACGGUGGAGAGGAGAGAGCGGUGGGAGGAAAGCGAUGAGGCGAUGUGGGUGAGGAGACAACUACUGAAGUAUUUAAAAGUGAAGUGAUUAUUUUGGGGAUUUGUUUUUUAAAAUUUCACAAGGAAAAAGUGAGUGAGCAUGGAAAUGGAUUUGUCAAGCAAAUGACACCUGUUACCAACUCCAGGGGAGGAGUCCUACUGCAUGGAGGAUAGCAAAUAGCUGAAGAAUGCCUGCCACCAAGAGCAGCAAUCCCAGAAUGUCUACUCCUUGGUUUGUACAUGCCAGGGUUGCCAAGAGAGACACAACUCACGUAGGCACUGGAUGGAACAACACUUUACUCACAUAGGGAAGAAACAGCAAGAUCAGCUUCAGUAGUGGGCAUUGGUCCCCCAUGGCUUAAGAAGAGUUUAAACGCAAAUGAGAAAUCAAGAAAGAUUGAAGAAUCUGGGUUU